Molecule: ribosomal RNA, 810 nt
Filed under: uncultured Planctomycetia bacterium
Lineage: Bacteria; Pseudomonadati; Planctomycetota; Planctomycetia
Description: bacterial SSU rRNA
Rfam family: Bacterial small subunit ribosomal RNA
Source: RNAcentral
GGGCCGCAAGGCCAGUGGCGCAAGGGUGAGUAAGGCGACGGUAACCAACCCCACGAAUGGGUAUAGCCGCGGGAAACUGCGGGUAAUCCCCAGCGACGCAGCGGGCCGGCAUCGGCCUGCUGCCAAAGCUCCGGCGUCGUGGGACGGGCCGUCGUGGUAUUAGGUUGUUGGCGGGGUAACGGCCCACCAAGCCUGCGAUGCCUACCGGGCGUGCGAGCGUGGCCCGGCACACUGGGACUGAGACACUGCCCAGACUCCUACGGGAGGCUGCAGUCGAGAAUCUUCGGCAAUGGGCGCAAGCCUGACCGAGCGACGCCGCGUGGAGGAUGAAGGCCUUCGGGUUGUAAACUCCUGUCGAGGGGGAAGAAGGUCCGCAAGGGCUUGACUGAUCCCUGGAGGAAGCACGGGCUAAGUUCGUGCCAGCAGCCGCGGUAAGACGAACCGUGCGAACGUUAUUCGGAAUCACUGGGCUUAAAGCGCGUGUAGGUGGGACGGUACGUCCGACGCUGAAAUCCCCCGGCUCAACCGGGGAACGGGCGCGGAUACGGCCGGCCUCGAGGAACGUAGGGGGAGCUGGAACUUCCGGUGGAGCGGUGAAAUGCGUUGAGAUCGGAAGGAACGCCCGUGGCGAAAGCGAGCUCCUGGACGUUUUCUGACACUGAGACGCGAAAGCCAGGGGAGCGAACGGGAUUAGAUACCCCGGUAGUCCUGGCCGUAAACGAUGGGCACUGGGUAGGGGGCUCGCCGAUGGGCUCCCUGCCGUAGGGAAACCGUGAAGUGCCCCGCCUGGGGAGUAUGGUCGCAAGGCUG